UGGGGAGUAUUGGACAAUGGGGAGGACCCUGAUCCAGCGACGCCGCGUGAGUGAAGAAGUAUCUCGGUAUGUAAACUUCUAUCAGCAGGGAAGAAAAUGACGGUACCUGACUAAGAAGCCCGCUAACUACGUGCCAGCCAGCCGCGGCUGAAUAACGUAGGUGGCCAAGCGGUUAGAUUCCGGCAAUUGAAUUUGGGCUGGUAAAAGAGCGCGCAGGUGGUUAAUUAAGUCUGAUGUGAAAGCCCACGGCUUAACCGUGGAGGGUCAUUGGAAACUGGUUGACUUGAGUGCAGAAGAGGGAAGUGGAAUUCCAUGUGUAGCGGUGAAAUGCGUAGAUAUUAGGAGGAACACCAGUGGCGAAGGCGGCUUACUGGACAGUAACUGACGUUGAGGCUCGAAAGCGUGGGGAGCAAACAGGAUUAGAUACC
Molecule: ribosomal RNA, 428 nt
Filed under: uncultured bacterium
Lineage: Bacteria
Description: bacterial SSU rRNA
Rfam family: Bacterial small subunit ribosomal RNA
Source: RNAcentral